AUUGAACGCUGGCGGCAUGCCUAACACAUGCAAGUCGAACGGCAGCACAGCAGUAGCAAUACUGUGGGUGGCGAGUGGCGGACGGGUGAGUAAUGCAUCGGGACCUACCCAGACGUGGGGGAUAACGUAGGGAAACUUACGCUAAUACCGCAUACGUCCUACGGGAGAAAGCAGGGGAUCUUCGGACCUUGCGCGGUUGGACGGACCGAUGUGCGAUUAGCUAGUUGGUAAGGUAAUGGCUUACCAAGGCGACGAUCGCUAGCUGGUCUGAGAGGAUGAUCAGCCACACUGGAACUGAGACACGGUCCAGACUCCUACGGGAGGCAGCAGUGGGGAAUAUUGGACAAUGGGCGCAAGCCUGAUCCAGCAAUGCCGCGUGUGUGAAGAAGGCCCUCGGGUUGUAAAGCACUUUUAUCAGGAACGAAAUACCACGGGCUAAUACCCCAUGGGGCUGACGGUACCUGAGGAAUAAGCACCGGCUAACUACGUG
This 490-nucleotide ribosomal RNA is filed under the name uncultured bacterium. Its description in RNAcentral is "bacterial SSU rRNA". It matches the Rfam family "Bacterial small subunit ribosomal RNA", at positions 30 to 507 of the family's 1533-position model. The record is from RNAcentral.